Molecule: ribosomal RNA, 429 nt
Filed under: Bacteroidota bacterium
Lineage: Bacteria; Pseudomonadati; Bacteroidota
Description: Bacteroidetes bacterium partial 16S ribosomal RNA
Rfam family: Bacterial small subunit ribosomal RNA
Source: RNAcentral
UAGGGAAACUUCCGCAAUGGGCGAAAGCCUGACGGAGCAACGCCGCGUGAGUGAUGAAGGUCUUCGGAUCGUAAAACUCUGUUAUUAGGGAAGAACAAAUGUGUAAGUAACUAUGCACGUCUUGACGGUACCUAAUCAGAAAGCCACGGCUAACUACGUGCCAGCAGCCGCGGUAAUACGUAGGUGGCAAGCGUUAUCCGGAAUUAUUGGGCGUAAAGCGCGCGUAGGCGGUUUUUUAAGUCUGAUGUGAAAGCCCACGGCUCAACCGUGGAGGGUCAUUGGAAACUGGAAAACUUGAGUGCAGAAGAGGAAAGUGGAAUUCCAUGUGUAGCGGUGAAAUGCGCAGAGAUAUGGAGGAACACCAGUGGCGAAGGCGACUUUCUGGUCUGUAACUGACGCUGAUGUGCGAAAGCGUGGGAAUCAAACAGG